This 393-nucleotide ribosomal RNA is filed under the name Chryseobacterium nepalense. RNAcentral's name for it is "bacterial SSU rRNA". It matches the Rfam family "Bacterial small subunit ribosomal RNA", at positions 771 to 1171 of the family's 1533-position model. Lineage: Bacteria; Pseudomonadati; Bacteroidota; Flavobacteriia; Flavobacteriales; Weeksellaceae. The record is from RNAcentral.
AACAGGAUUAGAUACCCUGGUAGUCCACGCUGUAAACGAUGCUAACUCGUUUUUGGGUUUUCGGAUUCAGAGACUAAGCGAAAGUGAUAAGUUAGCCACCUGGGGAGUACGAACGCAAGUUUGAAACUCAAAGGAAUUGACGGGGGCCCGCACAAGCGGUGGAUUAUGUGGUUUAAUUCGAUGAUACGCGAGGAACCUUACCAAGGCUUAAAUGGGAAUUGAUCGGUUUAGAAAUAGACCUUCCUUCGGGCAAUUUUCAAGGUGCUGCAUGGUUGUCGUCAGCUCGUGCCGUGAGGUGUUAGGUUAAGUCCUGCAACGAGCGCAACCCCUGUUACUAGUUGCUACCAUUAAGUUGAGGACUCUAGUAAGACUGCCUACGCAAGUAGAGAGGAA